RNAcentral lists this ribosomal RNA (645 nucleotides) under Papiliotrema laurentii. Its description in RNAcentral is "LSU rRNA". It matches the Rfam family "Eukaryotic large subunit ribosomal RNA", at positions 35 to 669 of the family's 3401-position model. The record is from RNAcentral. Lineage: Eukaryota; Fungi; Basidiomycota; Tremellomycetes; Tremellales; Rhynchogastremaceae.
UUUGCAUAUCAAUAAGCGGAGGAAAAGAAACUAACAAGGAUUCCCCUAGUAACGGCGAGUGAACCGGGAAGAGCUCAAAUUUGAAAUCUGGCGUCCUCAGGGCGUCCGAGUUGUAAUCUAUAGAGGCGUUUUCCGUGCCGGACCGUGUCCAAGUUCCUUGGAACAGGAUAUCAAAGAGGGUGACAAUCCCGUACUUGACACGACGACCGGUGCUCUGUGAUACGUCUUCUACGAGUCGAGUUGUUUGGGAAUGCAGCUCAAAAUGGGUGGUGAGUUCCAUCUAAAGCUAAAUAUUGGCGAGAGACCGAUAGCGAACAAGUACCGUGAGGGAAAGAUGAAAAGCACUUUGGAAAGAGAGUUAAACAGUACGUGAAAUUGUUGAAAGGGAAACGAUUGAAGUCAGUCGUGACCGAGAGGCUCAGCCGGCUCUGCCGGUGUAUUCCCCUCGGUCGGGUCAACAUCAGUUUUGUCCGGUGGAUAAGGGCGGUAGGAAGGUAGCACCCUCGGGUGUGUUAUAGCCUGCCGUCGCAUACAUCGGGUGAGACUGAGGAAUGCAGCUCGCCUUUAUGGCCGGGGUUCGCCCACGUCCGAGCUUAGGAUGUUGACAUAAUGGCUUUAAACGACCCGUCUUGAAACACGGACCAA